GUGCCCUACGGGGGGCAGCAGUGGGGGAUAUUGCACAAUGGGGGGAACCCUGAUGCAGCGACGCCGCGUGGGUGAAGGAGCGUUUCGGCGCGUAAAGCCCUAUCGGCAGGGAAGAAGGAGGACGGUACCUGACUAAGAAGCCCCGGCUAACUACGUGCCAGCAGCCGCGGUAAUACGUAGGGGGCGAGCGUUAUCCGGAUUUAUUGGGCGUAAAGCGUGCGUAGGCGGCUUGUUAAGUCCAGAAUUAAAGCCCGAGGCUUAACCUCGGGUCGUUCUGGAUACUGGCAAGCUUGAGUAUGGUAGAG
RNAcentral lists this ribosomal RNA (305 nucleotides) under uncultured bacterium. RNAcentral's name for it is "bacterial SSU rRNA". It matches the Rfam family "Bacterial small subunit ribosomal RNA", at positions 334 to 656 of the family's 1533-position model. The record is from RNAcentral.